AUGUGAUCGUCUCUCGCAUAUCAAUAAGCGGAGGAAAAGAAACUAACAAGGAUUCCCCUAGUAACGGCGAGUGAAGCAGGAAGAGCUCAAAUUUGAAAUCUUAAAGGGUUUCCCUUUACGAAUUGUAGUUUAAAGAAGUGUUUUACUGUUGAGGUUUUGGUAAAAGUUCUUUGGAAUAGGACAUCAUAGAGGGUGAGAAUCCCGUAUUUGAUCCUUUACUUUCAACUUUGUGAUACACUUUCAAAGAGUCGGAUUGUUUGGGAAUGCAGUCCAAAAUGGGUGGUAAAUUUCAUCUAAAGCUAAAUAUUGGCGAGAGACCGAUAGCGAACAAGUACCGUGAGGGAAAGAUGAAAAGAACUUUGAAAAGAGAGUUAAACAGUACGUGAAAUUGUCAGAAGGGAAGUGUUUGACACCAGUGUUGUUUUUCUGAAAAUCAAUUAAAGAACUGUUUAUGCUAAGCUGUUUAGACUUUAUCAGCUAUCUGUUUAGUUUUGAGCUUUUCUUUAAUGCACUUUUCAGUUAACAAGUCAACAUCAAUUUCUUUUGCUGUAAAAAAGCUUGAGGAAGGUGGCUUGAGAUUCGUCUUAAGUGUUUAUAGCCUCUUGCCUAUGCAGUCGGAGAGAUUGAGGUCUGCAGCGUAGAUCCUUCGGGGCUAAAUGCAUUUGUGCUAAGUUAUAACAUUUUAUAGACAACUUGUUGACUAUGAUUUGUCUUGUAGCUUACUCGCUUAUGUUAUUUUACCUACGCUUAGGAUGUUGAGUAGCGACAUACGCAC
Molecule: ribosomal RNA, 775 nt
Filed under: uncultured Neocallimastigales
Lineage: Eukaryota; Fungi; Neocallimastigomycota; Neocallimastigomycetes; Neocallimastigales
Description: partial large subunit ribosomal RNA
Rfam family: Eukaryotic large subunit ribosomal RNA
Source: RNAcentral